CUUUCCCUCUUGCUUUAGGCCUAACACAUGCAAGUCGAACGGCAGCACAGUAAGAGCUUGCUCUUACGGGUGGCGAGUGGCGGACGGGUGAGGAAUACAUCGGAAUCUACUUUUUCGUGGGGGAUAACGUAGGGAAACUGACGCUAAUACCGCAUACGACCUACGGGUGAAAGCAGGGGAUCUUCGGACCUUGCGCGAUUGAAUGAGCCGAUGUCGGAUUAGCUAGUUGGCGGGGUAAAGGCCCACCAAGGCGACGAUCCGUAGCUGGUCUGAGAGGAUGAUCAGCCACACUGGAACUGAGACACGGUCCAGACUCCUACGGGAGGCAGCAGUGGGGAAUAUUGGACAAUGGGCGCAAGCCUGAUCCAGCCAUACCGCGUGGGUGAAGAAGGCCUUCGGGUUGUAAAGCCCUUUUGUUUGGAAAGAAAAGCAGCAGGUUUAUACCCCGCUGUUCUGACGGUACCCAAAGAAUAAGCACCGGCUAACUUCGUG
RNAcentral lists this ribosomal RNA (492 nucleotides) under uncultured bacterium. RNAcentral's name for it is "partial 16S ribosomal RNA". It matches the Rfam family "Bacterial small subunit ribosomal RNA", at positions 36 to 507 of the family's 1533-position model. The record is from RNAcentral.